This 251-nucleotide long non-coding RNA is filed under the name Elaeis guineensis (African oil palm). Its description in RNAcentral is "long non-coding RNA (EGUI_LNC020139)". The record is from RNAcentral. Lineage: Eukaryota; Viridiplantae; Streptophyta; Magnoliopsida; Arecales; Arecaceae.
GGCUGGUUACAGUGAUUUAGUUGCAUCGAAAAGAUACAACCAUCCUAUUAGUAUGAGAUGUUGCUAGGUAAUAAUGGGGUUGGGUCCAAUAUUUCAAGCAUGUUGAGGGACCUAAUGAUGGCUUUACCUAUGCAUUGAAUGGUGGGUCUAACUUAACUAAGGAUUGAGCCAAUAUUACAGGCACGUUGAGGCUUCAUGACUUAGAGACCAAUCACUGCAUCAUGCUUGAGAAGCAUUGGACAAUAGUUGUC